CAGGCCGCCGCGCCGGGCAACGAGACCUGCCCCGCGGCUCAGCCAGCGGCAGGCGCCUUACCCCGGGCCUGGUGUUCAGUGGGGGAAGGAGAGCUGCCUAUGCAACUGGAAAUGGAUAAUGGCAUACAAUGGACCUCCAAGUGUGAUGGAGAUGUCCAGCAUUGCCUUGUCCUGGAAGAAGAGGAGACAGGCUGCCAGAGGCCUACUUCUGAUGGAUCUGGCUGUCUCAGGUGGUCUUGAGGACCUGCUGCAAUACUAGUGGGCAGACAUGAAGGACUGGUAACGACUCUCGCAUGCUGAUGUGCUUUGGGCCACAGAUACCGACUAGACAGAGGACAGCACAGAAAGGGAACAGACACAGAGGAUCAGAAGCAGUCAGGGAACAUUAACUGCAUACAUGCAUAAUUAUUACUACAGUGACCUGAUGGAAAUUCUGCAAGGAAUUCAGAACGUGACUGUGUACAAGGAACAUUAAGAAUCAAGCCUUUCUUGAUCUGUUUUGUGUUUCCAGACAUAUUUUAUCAAGAUGAUAUAAUAAAUAAUAUAAAUAAAUACUAAUUCAUAACAAUAUCUUGCAUUGUGAUUGGACCUUUUAGCAGAGGAUAUCUGGGGAUUUUGAUAAUGAAAAAGCACUAUAAUAAUAUAUAAAAUCAAGCUGAAUAUCUCCACAUUGUGGCCCAGACAAAACAAUAUAAAAAUCACAAAAGGGAAGAUUAGGGUACUCCGACUGCCACAGUCCACACUGUGGACUGUUUUGUGUGUUGAUUUUGAACUAUUAUGAAACUAUUGUGACAAAUUAAGGAGGAAGAUCACCAAUGCACUUUAAUUGUUAUGAUUCCAUUCCACACUAUGCAUAAUGUAUACAAAUUAAAUGUUGUGUGACAAUUUAAUAUGAUUGACAGGUCAGAUUUGUGGACUGUAGAUUAUGGAGUUUCAUGAUAUGCUGAAAUUAAUAAAACACAAUCCACUGAUCCAUGGUUUUAUAGCAGCCUGUCUCAGUCUAAGGUCAAACUAGAAAAGUUUUCUGACAAGUGCUGUAGGUCUGAUUCCCUGCUUUUGAUGUCAAUUAGAUGUUUAACUAAAUAAGUAUGAUAUAAGCAAGAAGAUACUCCAAAAGAAAAAUGUAAAAACUACUAAUUAAAAACAAAAGUUAUGGUAACAUAAGUGUCUUUAAGUUUUGCAAUAAUCCUUCCAGUACUUUUGCAUCCCAAAAGACUCCAGAUGUGACCAGCCACUGCAAAAUGGUAAGUUGUUUAUCAGCAUUCUACACUGCAAACUGGCACCUGUAAUUUCACUCUCACUUUGCAUCAGCAGAAUUAAGAUACCUAGAAAAACCCUACCAAGACAAGUUUCUGUGUAUUAAUGU
Molecule: long non-coding RNA, 1366 nt
Organism: Caretta caretta (loggerhead turtle)
Lineage: Eukaryota; Metazoa; Chordata; Testudines; Cheloniidae
Source: RefSeq, a predicted model, not a curated record